Molecule: ribosomal RNA, 355 nt
Filed under: Rhizobium sp. SB34
Lineage: Bacteria; Pseudomonadati; Pseudomonadota; Alphaproteobacteria; Hyphomicrobiales; Rhizobiaceae
Also listed under: 1 other name
Description: bacterial SSU rRNA
Rfam family: Bacterial small subunit ribosomal RNA
Source: RNAcentral
CAUUGGAGACGAUGUCCUUCAGUUAGGCUGGCCCCAGAACAGGUGCUGCAUGGCUGUCGUCAGCUCGUGUCGUGAGAUGUUGGGUUAAGUCCCGCAACGAGCGCAACCCUCGCCCUUAGUUGCCAGCAUUUAGUUGGGCACUCUAAGGGGACUGCCGGUGAUAGGCCGAGAGGAAGGUGGGGAUGACGUCAAGUCCUCAUGGCCCUUACGGGCUGGGCUACACACGUGCUACAAUGGUGGUGUCAGUGGGCAGCGAGACAGCGAUGUCGAGCUAAUCUCCAACGCCUCUCAGUUCGGAUUGCACUCUGCAACUCGAGUGCAUGAAGUUGGAAUCGCUAGUAAUCGCAGAUCAGCA